UUGGACAAUGGGCGAAAGCCUGAUCCAGCAACGCCGCGUGAGGGAUGACGGCCUUCGGGUUGUAAACCUCCUUCAGCAGGGACGAAGCGAAAGUGACGGUACCUGCAGAAGAAGGACCGGCCAACUACGUGCCAGCAGCCGCGGUAAUACGUAGGGUCCGAGCGUUGCCCGGAAUUAUUGGGCGUAAAGGGCUCGUAGGCGGUCAGUCACGUCGGGAGUGAAAACACGGGGCUUAACCCCGUGCCUGCUUCCGAUACGGGCUGACUAGAGGUAUGCAGGGGAGAACGGAAUUCCUGGUGUAGCGGUGAAAUGCGCAGAUAUCAGGAGGAACACCGGUGGCGAAGGCGGUUCUCUGGGCAUUACCUGACGCUGAGGAGCGAAAGUGUGGGGAGCGAACAGGAUUAGAUACCCUGGUAGUCCACACCGUAAACGUUGGGCGCUAGGUGUGGGACUCAUUCCACGAGUUCCGUGCCGCAGCUAACGCAUUAAGCGCCCCGCCUGGGGAGUACGGCCGCAAGGCUA
This 522-nucleotide ribosomal RNA is filed under the name uncultured Actinomycetes bacterium. RNAcentral's name for it is "bacterial SSU rRNA". It matches the Rfam family "Bacterial small subunit ribosomal RNA", at positions 364 to 896 of the family's 1533-position model. The record is from RNAcentral. Lineage: Bacteria; Bacillati; Actinomycetota; Actinomycetes.